Molecule: ribosomal RNA, 494 nt
Filed under: uncultured bacterium
Lineage: Bacteria
Description: partial 16S ribosomal RNA
Rfam family: Bacterial small subunit ribosomal RNA
Source: RNAcentral
GACGAACGCUGGCGGCGUGCUUAACACAUGCAAGUCGAACGGAAAGGCCUGCUUUCCCUUGUGGAUUGCGGGUGCUCGAGUGGCGAACGGGUGAGUAACACGUGAGUGAUCUGCCCCCAACUUGGGUGUAAGCCUGGGAAACUGGGUCUAAUUCCCGAUAGGACUGCAGGGUGGUGCCUGUGGUGGAAAACGAUUUUCUAGUGGUUGGGGAUGAGCUCGCGGCCUAUCAGCUUGUUGGUGGGGUAAUGGCCUACCAAGGCGGCGACGGGUAGCCAGCCUGAGAGGGUGGACGGCGACAUUGGGACUGAGAUACGGCCCAGACUCCUACGGGAGGCAGCAGUGGGGAAUAUUGCACAAUGGGCGGAAGCCUGAAGCAGCGACGCCGCGUGGGGGAUGACGGCCUUCGGGUUGUAAACUCCUUUCGACCGCGAGGAAGCCACCUGGUUGGAAGGGUGGUGACGGUAGUGGUAGAAGAAGCACCGGCUAACUACGUG